This 3522-nucleotide unclassified non-coding RNA is filed under the name Hevea brasiliensis (rubber tree). Lineage: Eukaryota; Viridiplantae; Streptophyta; Magnoliopsida; Malpighiales; Euphorbiaceae. The record is from RNAcentral.
AGAACAAACACAAAACAAUCCCCUGCUCAACAUGAUUACUAGCCCAAGCAUCAAUACUCACAUUAUGCAUUUUAUUAUUUAUAAGAUAUCAACAAAAAGGAUAUUAAAUUCUCGCAGAUUACUUGCAUUAUUCAUAACAAUUUUGCACUUAUCAAUUACAAAAUGGAAGUACUGUAAAUGAAAAGAAGAUGUUCAAAGUGUUUCCUUUAAAAUUUGAACCUUCUUUGCUCUGUUCUAAUAAGAUUCAUGAUUCAAUAGUUAAAUAUCUCUCUCCCUCUGUCAACUUUCUAAAAUUCAUUAAUUCAUAAUUUCCAAGUAAACAAUGUGACAUGUCAUGCUUACAGAUUGAGUUCUUUCUUUUCUUUUCUUUUUGUCUGGUAAAUCUAUAAAUUACUUGCAUGUCAAAAAAGAGAAGACACAUUUUUUUUCCUUGAAAAAGGAAUUGAAUACUUGAUGCAGUAUAGGAAGAUUAGAAUUAGGAGUUAUAUUCAAUGUAGAAUUAGGAAGUCUAGAAAGUUUAUUAGUUUUAAUGUUUUAUGACAUUAUUAUUUUAAUUUAAUUAUAUUUAGGAUUUAUUAAUUAGAUUUGUAUUAGGGUUUCUAUUUCUAAUUUGCUUAGGGUUGUAAUCUCUAGGGUAAAUUUUCUAUUAUUCAUAAGCUUGAUAAUAUGAAAUUGACAACUAAAUAAAGCAUUUUUGAGAAUUCGUUUCUCCAUUUACUUGAGAAUUAGUUUCUCUUGAGUUAAAUUUCCUUACUCUACAUCAGUGAUUUUCUAGUGUAGAGAGUUUAUAAGAAUUUAUAUGGGGUUUGUUUCUUUACAUAGUAUAUUUACUUAAUUUAACUUUAUCAUCAUGGAUUUGGGUAUUUAAGAUCAUGGUCUAUCAUAUACGGUUUUUAUGGCGGUGUUCCUGUCCUAGAUGAAUGAAUUGCCAUCAAGCAUGCUGAGCUUGCAUGACAAAUCCAAAUGACAAGUUCAUAACUUUAUAUUGUUAUGUAUUUUUCUUGCAAUUAAUAUAUGUACAAGGAACAUUUGUCUCUGAGAUUUUCCUAAUCAUUGUUGGCAUUGACUUUCAUUCUAUACUUGGUUCCAGUUUUAAUGUUGAUUCAAAAGUUUGCACUUUUCCAAAAGAGUUCUAAACUGUCAUAGCUAUUAAGUUUAAAGUUUCAGUUUUUUUUUUGGAGGGGGCGGGUUAUGGAAUGGGUUGCUGGCUGCAGGAAAAACAAGUUUGAAUUACUUUAAAAGUAAGAUUCCAUAAAUGUUUCACGAAGUGCAUUUGCGUAAAGUGGUGCUACUCCUUUUUCGGACCUUUCUUAGGCUUUUGGAAUAUAUAUUGAUUUGUGUUCUCAAGUCCAUUUAAAAGGAAAAAUACUUAUUUAACGUAAUUUAUUGGGUUGGUUUGGCACUUUAUUGACUUUAGGUUGGCUGUGGCUGCCAUGGAUAAUACGAGGGUGACAACCAAGAAUAUGAGAGAGAAAUUGGAAUUGCAAACUUGGUCUGACCUUCCUACAGAACUUCUGGAACUGAUCUUUUGCCAUGUAACUCUAGAAGACAACGUUCGUGCCUCUCUUGUUUGCAAGAGUUGGCAUACAGCUGCCAUUUCUGUCAGAGUGGUAAAACAAUCACCCUGGCUGAUGUAUUUUCCAAAAUAUGGGAAUUUGUAUGAGUUCUAUGACCCAGCACAGCGCAAGACCCAUUCCCUUGAGUUACCAGAAUUGUAUGGGUCAAGAGUUUGUUACACUAAAGAUGGUUGGUUGUUGUUGUACAGACCCAGAACCCACCGUGUUUUCUUCUUUAACCCAUUUACUAAGGAAGUGAUCAAACUGCCAAGAUUUGAAUUGACUUAUCAGAUAGUUGCUUUCUCGUCUUCUCCAACAUCUACCAGCUGCAUUGUUUUUACAGUUAAGCACAUCAGUCCCACAGUUGUUGCUAUCAGCACUUGUCAUCCUGGGGCAACUGAAUGGGUUACUGUUAAUUAUCAAAAUCGCUUGCCUUUUGUUAGUAGUAUUUGGAACAAGAUUGUUUUCUGCAGUGGACUUUUUUACUGCCUAAGUCUCACUGGCUGGCUAGGUGUUUUCAACCCAGUGGAACGUACUUGGAAUGUUCUUGUUGUGCCCCCGCCUAAAUGCCCAGAGAAUUUUUUUGCUAAAAAUUGGUGGAAAGGAAAAUUUAUGUCAGAGCACAAUGGAGACAUUUUAGUUAUUUAUACAUGUUGUAGUGAAAACCCAAUUAUAUUUAAGUUGAAUCAGUCACAAAUGAUGUGGAAAGAGAUGAAGACCCUUGAUGGUGUGACACUGUUUGCCAGUUUCUUAUCAUCUCAUUCAAGAGCUGACCUCCCUGGAAUAAUGAGAAACAGUAUCUACUUUUCUAAAGUUCGGUUUUUUGGAAAGCGUUGCAUAUCAUACUCUCUGGAUGACUGUAGAUACUAUCCUCGCAAGCAGUGUCAUGACUGGGGAGAGCAAGAUCCUUUUGAGAAUAUCUGGAUUGAACCACCUGAGAACCUCUCAACCUUUCUCUGAAGAACACAGGAGUAUGUUCAAGUUAAGUGCAUAUGGUACUCUUAUUAUCUGUUUGUCCUAUUUCAUUUACUUUUUGCACUUGACUGAAUCCUGUUGGUGCUCACUGUAUGUGCUGUAGCUCUUGGAAUAAUUUUAUUGUGCUUAAAGGACUCAGAAUACAUUACAUGCUUAAGUUUAAAAUGUCUAUCAGGUCUGAAUGCCACACAAAACUUUUUGUGUCUUAAACAUAUGCAUGUUUUAAAAUGUACACAUCUUAGACAAAAGUUUUUCUACUAUGCACUUUGUUCCUUUGGAUACAUAUUUGUGGUUGUGAGGAAUUCGACUGAAUUGUUGUCAUUCUGUAGCACUGAAAUCUUGGUGGUGCCAACAUCAGGAUUAUCAUAUUGUUCCUACUUUUCUAUAUUAUUGGUGGGCAAAAAAAUCAUUUGACCUGAAGUUUUCUUGUGCUUAAAGCUCUGAAUGGCCUGAUAUACUUGGAUGCAACACUUAAAGAUGCCAUUUCAGUAGAUAUUGCUCUAUAGAUCAUGAUAAUUUUUUCAAGUAUUGAUUUUAUUUUUCUCAUGGGUCUGUGUGGAGCAGGUAUUGAGUAUCCAAUGGUUGCAUCUAAGUAGAGCAAAUCAUUAGUCAGGAGUCUUUAAAGAAGCAUUUGUGAUGCAGCAUGGAUUCAGUGUACAUCAAGCAUUUCGAAAGUUCAUGCAAUGUUGAGGAAUGAAAUUUAUACCUUGAAGAUAACAGUAAUGCAGCGUAGACAACCUAAAUUGUGCCUGGAGGAUCUGAAAUAUAACAUCCUUCUUGUAUGAUCUUUGGUGCUUCUUUAGCUAUAUACAUUUAUUUGUUCCAAAUAGUUUUCAGAUAUAGAUAUGUUUUGUCCACUAUAGAUUCUCUUCCUUUGUGUCUUCUGUGCUUUAGGCUAAGUGACAUUUGCCUUUUUAACAUUUUGAUUAUGUCUGAAGAUGUGCAUUUUUUUAAGCAGUCAGAAGAUAUACAUAAUGGAAGUCCCUGUGAA